Molecule: long non-coding RNA, 314 nt
Filed under: Homo sapiens (human)
Lineage: Eukaryota; Metazoa; Chordata; Mammalia; Primates; Hominidae
Description: HSALNT0058709
Source: RNAcentral
GGGGAUUCAGAAUUUAUGUACAACACAUCUCGAACUUUUCUUUUUCCUCCUGAAGGAGCACCACUCAAGGAUGAUGUAAAUUUACUAUGCUACUCACCUAGUAGAAAGAAAGAAAGAAUAAUACCAUUCUCUUGGCAUGUCUCUCUAUGGAAUACCUGCUGCCUUUCUUUGGUGUCAUGUCAACAGUGUGUGAAAGAUGUCUCAUUUGUUUGAGAGUUAGGAAUUCUACAGGGAGUAGAUUAGAAUAGAGUAGCAUGAAAUGGAAAGAAACUCAUAUGAAAGAAUAACUUUGUAAAAAUUGUUUUGUCUUUUAG